AGAGUUUGAUCAUGGCUCAGAUUGAACGCUGGCGGAAUGCUUUACACAUGCAAGUCGAACGGCAGCACGGACUUCGGUCUGGUGGCGAGUGGCGAACGGGUGAGUAAUAUAUCGGAACGUAUCCAAUAAUGGGGGAUAACUAAUCGAAAGGUUGGCUAAUAUCGCAUACGCCCUACGGGGGAAAGCUAGGGACCUUCGGGCCUGGCGUUAAUGGAGCGGCCGAUAUCUGAUUAGCUAGUUGGUGAGGUAAAGGCUCACCAAGGCGACGAUCAGUAGCUGGUCUGAGAGGACGACCAGCCACACUGGAACUGAGACACGGUCCAGACUCCUACGGGAGGCAGCAGUGGGGAAUUUUGGACAAUGGGCGAAAGCCUGAUCCAGCCAUUCCGCGUGAGUGAAGAAGGCCUUCGGGUUGUAAAGCUCUUUCGCAAGGGAAGAAAGAUUACUCUCUAACAUAGAGUAAUUAUGACGGUACCUUGAUAAGAAGCACCGGCUAACUACGUGCCAGCAGCCGCGGUAAUACGUAGGGUGCGAGCGUUAAUCGGAAUUACUGGGCGUAAAGCGUGCGCAGGCCGUUUUGUAAGUCAGAUGUGAAAUCCCCGAGCUCAACUUGGGAACUGCGUUUGAAACUACAAGACUAGAAUAUGUCAGAGGGGGGUAGAAUUCCACGUGUAGCAGUGAAAUGCGUAGAGAUGUGGAGGAAUACCAAUGGCGAAGGCAGCCCCCUGGGAUAAUAUUGACGCUCAUGCACGAUAGCGUGGGGAGCAAACAGGAUUAGAUACCCCGGUAGUCC
Molecule: ribosomal RNA, 793 nt
Filed under: uncultured bacterium
Lineage: Bacteria
Description: bacterial SSU rRNA
Rfam family: Bacterial small subunit ribosomal RNA
Source: RNAcentral